UACGAAGGGGGCUAGCGUUGUUCGGAAUUACUGGGCGUAAAGGGCGCGUAGGCGGUGUGUCAAGUCAGGCGUGAAAGCCCCGGGCUCAACCUGGGAACAGCGCUUGAGACUGGCACGCUCGAGUUCGGGAGAGGAUGGUGGAAUUCCCAGUGUAGAGGUGAAAUUCGUAGAUAUUGGGAAGAACACCGAUGGCGAAGGCAGCCAUCUGGACCGACACUGACGCUGAGGCGCGAAAGCGAGGGGAGCAAACGGG
This 253-nucleotide ribosomal RNA is filed under the name uncultured bacterium. Its description in RNAcentral is "partial 16S ribosomal RNA". It matches the Rfam family "Bacterial small subunit ribosomal RNA", at positions 524 to 776 of the family's 1533-position model. The record is from RNAcentral.